CAGCAUCAACCGAGUUCCCCCAGUAGCGGCGAGCGAACGGGGAGCAGCCCAGAGUCUGAAUCAGCUUGUGUGUUAGUGGAACCGUCUGGAAAGUCGCGCGGUACAGGGUGAAAGCCCCGUACACGAAAAUGCACAGGCUGUGACUCGAAGAGUAUGGCUGGACACGUGCUA
This 171-nucleotide ribosomal RNA is filed under the name uncultured Enterobacter sp. RNAcentral's name for it is "partial 23S ribosomal RNA". It matches the Rfam family "Bacterial large subunit ribosomal RNA", at positions 235 to 431 of the family's 2925-position model. The record is from RNAcentral. Lineage: Bacteria; Pseudomonadati; Pseudomonadota; Gammaproteobacteria; Enterobacterales; Enterobacteriaceae.